CUCACCUGCCGAAUCAACUAGCCCUGAAAAUGGAUGGCGCUUAAGCGAGAGACCUAUACUCCGCCGUCGCGGCAUGUGCGUUGUCUAGCGCCAGGUCGCGACGAGUAGGAAGGACGUGGCGGUUGCGUUGAAGGCUAUGAGCGUAGGCUCGGCUGGAGCUUCCGUCAGUGCAGAUCGUAAUGGUAGUAGCAAAUAUUCAAGUUCGAUCCUUGAAGACUGAAGUGGAGAAGGGUUCCACGUGAACAGUAGUUGGAUGUGGGUCAGUCGAUCCUAAGGUACUGGCGAAAGCCUUGUAUCAUCGGUGGCGAAAAGCUUGCUUUUUGUCCCCGCCCGUCGAAAGGGAAUAGGGUUAAUUUUCCCUAACUGAGAUGCAAAGAUUGUGUUCUUCGGGAGCACAAGCGCGGUAACGCGUUCGAACUUGGUAAGUCGCUCAGAGACCGAGCUAGAGUUUUCUUCUCUAGUUAAGGAACGGACUCCCUGGAAUUGGUUCAGCCAGAGAUGGGGACGUUGUUUCCGAAAAGCACCGCGGUUUCUGUGGUGUCUCGUGCUCUCUGAACGGCCCUUUAAACACCAAGGGAGGCUAUUAAUUUGCACUCAAUCGUACCGAUAUCCGCAUUAGGUCUCCAAGGUGAACAGCCUCUAGUCGAUAGAAUAAUGUAGGUAAGGGAAGUCGGCAAACUAGAUCCGUAACUUCGGGAAAAGGAUUGGCUCCAGUGGUCGGAACGGUUGGCCAGUUGGUUGAUGCUUGUCCGGCGCUGUUCUGUCUGCUUGAUGCUUUCGGGCUGAUGGCGGCCUAGUGAUAGUGCUUGCUUGUUGACGCUUUCUGGUGUGUGCUUUGACCUCGGUCUUAGUAUCCUGAUCGUUCAUCUAAACGACUAAACUGGAACCGGUACGGACUCAGGGAAUCCGACUGUCUAAUUAAAACAGAGGUGACAGAUGGUCCUUGCGGACGCUGACUGUCACUGAUUUCUGCCCAGUGCUCUGAAUGUUAAAUCGUAGUAAUUCGAGUAAGCGCGGGUAAACGGC
This 1026-nucleotide non-coding RNA is filed under the name Caenorhabditis japonica. Its description in RNAcentral is "Eukaryotic large subunit ribosomal RNA". It matches the Rfam family "Eukaryotic large subunit ribosomal RNA", at positions 1289 to 2254 of the family's 3401-position model. The record is from Rfam by way of RNAcentral. Lineage: Eukaryota; Metazoa; Nematoda; Chromadorea; Rhabditida; Rhabditidae.